RNAcentral lists this ribosomal RNA (534 nucleotides) under uncultured beta proteobacterium. RNAcentral's name for it is "partial 16S ribosomal RNA". The record is from RNAcentral. Lineage: Bacteria; Pseudomonadati; Pseudomonadota; Betaproteobacteria.
AUGCUGAUCCGCGAUUACUAGCGAUUCCGACUUCACGGAGUCGAGUUGCGGACUCCGAUCCGGACUACGACGCGCUUUCUGAGAUUAGCUCCCCCUCGCGGGUUGGCAACCCUCUGUACGCGCCACUGUAUUACGUGUGAAGCCCUACCCAUAAGGGCCAUGAGGACUUGACGUCAUCCCCACCUUCCUCCGGUUUGUCACCGGCAGUUUCAUUAAAGUGCCCAACUGAAUGAUGGCAAUUAAUGACAAGGGUUGCGCUCGUUGCGGGACUUAACCCAACAUCUCCCGACACGAGCUGACGACAGCCAUGCAGCACCUGUGUUGCCGCUCCCUUUCGGGCACACCCACCUCUCAGCGGGCUUCGGCACAUGUCAAGGGUAGGUAAGGUUUUUCGCGUUGCAUCGAAUUAAUCCACAUAAUCCACCGCUUGUGCGGGCCCCCGUCAAUUCCUUUGAGUUUUAAUCUUGCGACCGUACUCCCCAGGCGGUCAACUUCACGCGUUAGCUGCGUUACCAAGUCCGUUAAGACCCGACA